Lotus japonicus is the source of this 554-nucleotide long non-coding RNA. RefSeq lists it as uncharacterized. NCBI's taxonomy places the organism in Eukaryota, Viridiplantae, Streptophyta, Magnoliopsida, Fabales, Fabaceae. The transcript is spliced from 2 exons. The record is from RefSeq and is a predicted model, not a curated record.
UCACUGUUUGGUAGAUACUCUUCUCCUAAUUCAAACACUUAUAGUUGAUAUCUUACUGUCAUCUCACCCCACCCAACUAUAGUUCUUCUUCUACAUAUAAAUACCACCUGCUUCUUCUACUCUCCUCACUUAGAAUUAUCUUCAACACCAUCACUUUAAUUUCCCUGGCUUCAUGAUUCAGCAUAUAUAGCUCAUAGCUUAAUCACUGGAUCUCACUCCCGAAAUGUUCAAUCCCAUUUCUUGGCAGACGACUCUGACAACUGAUGAGUUUGUCAGGUUUGUGGCAAUGAUAUUGGAUCAAAGGAAGAUGCUUUGGGCGUUUCCUUGUUAUCCCUAAUGGACGAUAUUUCGGGAGUGAGAACCAGUGAUAAAGCCAGUCCAGCAUUCGAUGGAAGAUUACUUCAAAAACAUUAAGGAUUACCUGGCCUUAACUUACUUUUAGGAUCUGUUUGGUUUGCUGUAUAAUAUAAAGUCUGAUAGUACAAGACAUGAUGGUAUAAGGUCUGAUAGUAUUAAACCUGAUAAAUUUUAAUACUAUACAAAGUUUGGUGACA